CUGCUGGUAAAGGUCAUUACGUAUUACUUUACUUACAAAAGAAACCAACAGGGAUUGCCCUAGUAACGGCGAGUGAAGCGGCAACAGCUCAAAUUUGAAAUCUGGCCCCAGAGCCGAGUUGUAAUUUGUAGAGGAUGUUUCUGGAGAGGUGCCUUCCGAGUUCCCUGGAACGGGACGCCAUAGAGGGUGAGAGCCCCGUACGGUUGCGCUAUGCCUAUGUGAAACUCCUUCAACGAGUCGAGUAGUUUGGGAAUGCUGCUCUAAAUGGGUGGUGUACGCCAUCUAAAGCUAAAUACCGGCCAGAGACCGAUAGCGCACAAGUAGAGUGAUCGAAAGAUGAAAAGCACUUUGAAAGAGGGUUAAACAGUACGUGAAAUUGUUGAAAGGGAAGCGCUCAUGACCAGACCUGGGCCGGUUGAUCAUCCGCCGUUCUCGGUGGUGCACUCUGCCGGCCCAGGCCAGCAUCGGUCUGGCGCGGGGGUCAAAGGUUCCGGGAAUGUGGCUCCCCCCGGGGAGUGUUAUAGCCCGUUGCGUAAUACCCUGCGCUGGACCGAGGUACGCGCUCCGCAAGGAUGCUGGCGUAAUGGUCAUCAGUGACCCGUCUUGAAACACGGACCAAGGAGUCGUCUUCGUAUGCGAGUGUUCGGGUGACAAACCCCUACGCGUAAUGAAAGUGAACGCAGGAGAGAGCUUCGGCGCAUCUCCGACCGAUCCUGAUGUUCUCGGAUGGAUUUGAGUAAGAGCAUACGGGGCCGGACCCGAAAGAAGGUGAACUAUGCCUGUAUAGGGUGAAGCCAGAGGAAACUCUGGUGGAGGCUCGCAGCGGUUCUGACGUGCAAAUCGAUCGUCAAAUAUGGGCAUGGGGGCGAAAGACUAAUCGAACCUUCUAGUAGCUGGUUUCCGCCGAAGUUUCCCUCAGGAUAGCAGUGUUGAACUCAGUUUUAUGAGGUAAAGCGAAUGAUUAGGGACCCGGGGG
RNAcentral lists this ribosomal RNA (976 nucleotides) under Nectria zonata. Its description in RNAcentral is "LSU rRNA". It matches the Rfam family "Eukaryotic large subunit ribosomal RNA", at positions 1 to 1035 of the family's 3401-position model. Lineage: Eukaryota; Fungi; Ascomycota; Sordariomycetes; Hypocreales; Nectriaceae. The record is from RNAcentral.